This 253-nucleotide ribosomal RNA is filed under the name uncultured bacterium. RNAcentral describes it as "partial 16S ribosomal RNA". It matches the Rfam family "Bacterial small subunit ribosomal RNA", at positions 524 to 776 of the family's 1533-position model. The record is from RNAcentral.
UACGAAGGGUGCAAGCGUUACCCGGAAUUACUGGGCGUAAAGCGUGCGUAGGCGGUUUGUUAAGUCCGUUGUGAAAGCCCUGGGCUCAACCUGGGAAUUGCAGUGGAUACUGGCGAGCUAGAGUGCGGUAGAGGAUGGUGGAAUUCCCGGUGUAGCGGUGAAAUGCGUAGAGAUCGGGAGGAACACCCGUGGCGAAGGCGGCCAUCUGGACCAGCACUGACGCUGAGGCACGAAAGCGUGGGGAGCAAACAGG